RNAcentral lists this ribosomal RNA (449 nucleotides) under Araneus eburneiventris. RNAcentral describes it as "partial 16S large subunit ribosomal RNA". It matches the Rfam family "Bacterial large subunit ribosomal RNA", at positions 1820 to 2601 of the family's 2925-position model. The record is from RNAcentral. Lineage: Eukaryota; Metazoa; Arthropoda; Arachnida; Araneae; Araneidae.
UUCUUACUAAAUAUAGUUGUAAGUAUCACCUGCUCAAUGAAAAUUUAAAUAGCCGCGGAAUAUUAACCGUGCUAAGGUAGCAUAAUCAUUAGCCCCUUAAUUAGGGGCUUGUAUGAAUGGUGAAACAUUUUAACCCCUUUAUUAAAUAUUAUUUUAUAAUUUAAACUAAGAAUAAAAAUGUUCUUAUUUUAAUAAUAGACGACAAGACCCUUUUGAACUUAACUUCAGUUUAGCUGGGGCAGCUAAAAAAUAUUUAUCUUUUUUUUUCUUAUUAUAUAAAUGACCCAAUAAAAUUGAUUUAAUGAACAAGUUACCAUAGGGAUAACAGCGUAAUAUUUUUUUAAAGCUCUUAUUUAAAAAAAUGAUUGCGACCUCGAUGUUGAAUUAAUAUAACUUUACAAGUGCAAAAACCGUAAAAGUAGGUCUGUUCGACCUUUAAAAUAUUACAU